AGCGAACGCUGGCGGCAGGCUUAACACAUGCAAGUCGAACGGGCGUAGCAAUACGUCAGUGGCAGACGGGUGAGUAACGCGUGGGAACAUACCUCUUGGUUCGGAACAACACAGGGAAACUUGUGCUAAUACCGGAUAAGCCCUUACGGGGAAAGAUUUAUCGCCGAGAGAUUGGCCCGCGUCUGAUUAGCUAGUUGGUGGGGUAAAGGCCUACCAAGGCGACGAUCAGUAGCUGGUCUGAGAGGAUGAUCAGCCACAUUGGGACUGAGACACGGCCCAAACUCCUACGGGAGGCAGCAGUGGGGAAUAUUGGACAAUGGGCGCAAGCCUGAUCCAGCCAUGCCGCGUGAGUGAUGAAGGCCCUAGGGUUGUAAAGCUCUUUUGUACGGGAAGAUAAUGACGGUA
This 405-nucleotide ribosomal RNA is filed under the name Tardiphaga sp. RNAcentral's name for it is "bacterial SSU rRNA". It matches the Rfam family "Bacterial small subunit ribosomal RNA", at positions 29 to 477 of the family's 1533-position model. Lineage: Bacteria; Pseudomonadati; Pseudomonadota; Alphaproteobacteria; Hyphomicrobiales; Nitrobacteraceae. The record is from RNAcentral.